UUUCUUCAGGGCGGGGUGUAAGUCCCUACCGGCGGUGAUAGUCCGCGACUCUCCUUGCUGGAGAUUGAAUUGGUGAAAUUCCAAUACCGACGGUGAUAGUCCGGAUGGAAGAAGAG
RNAcentral lists this non-coding RNA (116 nucleotides) under Candidatus Odoribacter faecigallinarum. RNAcentral describes it as "FMN riboswitch (RFN element)". It matches the Rfam family "FMN riboswitch aptamer (RFN element)". Rfam says of the family: The RFN element is a highly conserved domain that is found frequently in the 5'-untranslated regions of prokaryotic mRNAs that encode for flavin mononucleotide (FMN) biosynthesis and transport proteins. This element is a metabolite-dependent riboswitch that directly binds FMN in the absence of proteins. Lineage: Bacteria; Pseudomonadati; Bacteroidota; Bacteroidia; Bacteroidales; Odoribacteraceae. The record is from RNAcentral.